CGGCAACAGCUCAGAUUUGAAAUCUGGCCCUAGGCCCGAGUUGUAAUCUGUAGAGGAUGCUUUUGGUUAGGUGCCUUCCGAGUUCCCUGGAACGGGACGCCAUAGAGGGUAAGAGCCCCGUACAGUUGGACACCACGCCUUUGUAAAGCUCCUUCGAC
This 158-nucleotide ribosomal RNA is filed under the name Glomerellaceae sp. RNAcentral's name for it is "partial large subunit ribosomal RNA". It matches the Rfam family "Eukaryotic large subunit ribosomal RNA", at positions 99 to 261 of the family's 3401-position model. Lineage: Eukaryota; Fungi; Ascomycota; Sordariomycetes; Glomerellales; Glomerellaceae. The record is from RNAcentral.